CCCUCACCACAGACUCGCUCCAGCUCGUCCGUGUGAUCGCUGCAGUCGCUGAAGCCGUCGCACUUCCAGCUGGCGCUGAUGCAGGUGCCGUCGAGACAAGUGAACUGCUCGGGUUGGCAGCGCUUCCCGUCGUCUUGGAUGCAGUCCUUGCCGUUGUUGGCCAGUGUAUGCUUCAACAAGCUCGACGGAAAAGAACCUCCCACCUUUGGUGCAGGUACGUUUAUCAUUAUUCAACGUCCAUCCGGAUUGGCAGUGGCAGGUGUAAAAAUUUGGCCUGAAGCCCGACAGCAGGCACAGUUGACUGCACAUCUUGUCUUUGCAUGGGUUGAGACCUGCACACAAAACCACCGUUUGACCUUCGCUCCAACUGGGACCGGAUACUAAUCAGAAAAUGGGUCACCUGCAGGCUGUUUAAUGGGAUGGUCCAGAACGAGGCCCAUGGGCUGAUAGACGCUGUUCAUCAGUGUGGUGACGUUGCCGCCGUGGAACUUGUUGGUGCUCAUCACUUUGCUGCUGAAGCGCUCCGACCAGAAGACGUUGUCCUCAAAGAUAGUCAUGCCGUGCGGGUGCUGGAGAACCUGGAGCCCAAGGACUUGGUUGCUAACGUUAUCCCGAUUCUGACCUGGCUACAAUUUGAUUAGAAUUCAACGUACCAUGUCGCUGGCCAUAACUUGAUAGCGGUUCUUUCCAUCAUAGUCACAGUAGUCGAUGUAUUUCAGGUAAGCGUCGGCGAAGUAGACCCUGCGCGUGGUGUAGUCCAGCGCCAAGGCAUUGGGCCAGUAAAUCUUCGUACUGACAAUGGUCCGUCUCAUUGCUCCAUCCAUGUCGGCCCGCUCGAUCCUCGGAUUCUGACCCCAAUCCGACCAGAACAUCAGCACUUUCCGGAAGCGACCAUCCAGAGUGGACACCUCAAUGUUCUCCAUGACCGAGUCGGUCCAGUAGAGGUUUCUGCCCACCCAGUCCACCGCGAUGCUCUCCGGCACUAUCAGACCACUGGAGAAAAUCUGCAGCAACAAAGGCACCAACUUUGACGGAUCCGAAAGACACGUCUUCUCUUU
Molecule: long non-coding RNA, 1058 nt
Organism: Hippocampus zosterae (dwarf seahorse)
Lineage: Eukaryota; Metazoa; Chordata; Actinopteri; Syngnathiformes; Syngnathidae
Exons: 3
Source: RefSeq, a predicted model, not a curated record